CGGAUUGUAGUCUGNAACCCGACUACAUGAAGCUGGAAUCGCUAGUAAUCGCAGGUCAGCAUACUGCGGUGAAUACGUUCCCGGGUCUUGUACACACCGCCCGUCACACCAUGGGAGCCGGAAAUGCCCGAAGCCAGUGACCCAACCUUAGGGAGGGAGCUGUCGAAGGUGGAGCCGGUAACUGGGGUGAAGUCGUAACAAGGUAAC
Molecule: ribosomal RNA, 207 nt
Filed under: uncultured bacterium
Lineage: Bacteria
Description: partial 16S ribosomal RNA
Rfam family: Bacterial small subunit ribosomal RNA
Source: RNAcentral